CAGGGAGGCCUGGAGAUGCGUGGGGCAAUCUAAGCUAGGACUUGCGUGAUGGAUAAAGAGGUCACGAGAAUACAGUUUCACUCUCUACACCGAGAAUACUGUCCCUGCAUUUUCUGAAUAUGACUUAAGUAGCAAUGUCUUUGAUAUUGCCUGGACUAAAGAAUGGAUAAAUUCUCCAGUUCAGAAAUUGAAACACAGAGAGCAGAGUGGUUUGCUACAAUGAGUGGCAGUCCUGAUUCCGGAAUGCACAUCUCCAGACUGCCACUGGAGUGCCUUUCCCCCAUGACUCUGUGUCUCCCAGAAGCCAAA
RNAcentral lists this long non-coding RNA (309 nucleotides) under Mustela putorius furo (domestic ferret). RNAcentral's name for it is "lncRNA (ENSMPUG00000031944.1)". Lineage: Eukaryota; Metazoa; Chordata; Mammalia; Carnivora; Mustelidae. The record is from RNAcentral.